GGUUGGACAGGCCUCCACCCAACCAGAGUACAUACCAAAACCAGCAGGUAACGAUAUCGUCCAGAUUUAGGCAUUACUGUGUAGUCUACUUGUAAGUCUGACAUGGGAAGUCCACUCAUAUACUGAACUCCAGGAGGCUUAACAUGGCCUUGUCUUGCGUUGUUUCGAGCGCACUGUACACAUCUUCUGACAAUAGCUUGGGUAAGAUUAUAUAGUACUGGUAUAUAGAAAUAUUUGCUGAGAGAUUCUUCCAUACUAUCUCUUCCCGAAUGUGUACCACUAUGGAAGUUCUGAACAAUUUCUAUAGCCAAAGAUGCAGGAAUAACUAUUCUUCCAUCUUCUAACUGAUGCCAAUUAUUCUCUCAAAAACUUACCAGGUUCAGUUUUCAGACACUCCUUCUCUUGAGUGUUAUACACUGGAGUCCAUUGAGACAAUGGGGCUGGUAUAAGAGCAGUAAC
Pelobates cultripes (western spadefoot toad) is the source of this 459-nucleotide non-coding RNA. The record is from the annotation of a GenBank genome assembly. Lineage: Eukaryota; Metazoa; Chordata; Amphibia; Anura; Pelobatidae.